UCUAUUAAACGAAAAAUUAUAUAUUUCCACAAUUUGAAAUAAAAAUACUAAAAGAUUUUAUAUAUUUUCACUAUAAAUUGUGUAAUUUUACAUAACUUUUUACAGUGUAAUCUCUUAGAGGAACGAACGACACUCUAUACGAGAGCGUGAAAAAUCAGCCGAAAUCCGGAUGGGAAUAAUCGCGAUCCGUCCCGAAAAUCGAUUGGUAAAAAACGUACAUCGACCGGUUUUAACGAUCGCGUCGUGCAUUAUUUCAGUGACGAUUUGCUGGGGCCGGUCGUCGCUACCACUGCCGAUAUAGCUCGUUAGGUAGGCGCCACGCUUCAUUUUUCGCAAGCUGGCUCAUUUUGCGCGGACCUAGUCUCCGUUUUCCCGUCCCGUAAUUCUCGCGAAUAUUAACACGUGGAGUGCCGGCCGACGAUCUGCUAAUUCUGCACGCAGAGAGAUACCGUUACCGCGCGCGCACCCACCGAUUGUACCUCCACGCAAUGCGGAGGCACGCUUAAGUGCGCUGUGUAUAUAUAAAUACAUAAUAAUAAUUGAAUAGCCUGUAUACGCACAAAUGCCUUCGCGUUAAUCGGCGGCGUAUCUUCUCGAGGGAACCUUUAAUACCUAGACGCUGCUUGUUACUUAUGUUUUACAUUACGGCUGGUUGUGAUGAUGGGAAUAAAAGAUAAAAAUUUUGAGUAAUACCCGAAGAUAACGAACGAUCAAAGAUAAUACGCGUAUGCGACUCGUAACAAUCAAUUAUUGACAACAAUUUUAUUAUUGACAACAUCUCAAGUUUACAUUUUCAGAAUAUAUCGCGACGGAAGACAUAGCGCUAACUCUUAAGAUGUCAUGUGAGAAAAAGUACCUUCUUUAAUAUCAUUAUGAUCAUUUCCAUUCACUUUUUCAUCUAUUAAAAAUUCAUGAACGUGCUUUCAAAUUUAUGGAUCGAAUGUACUUCAUUUUAGAAAACAAUAAGAUGUAAUAUAAUUUAAUUAAUCUUAAAAUUACGAGAAAUUUCUGUAAGAUAGAAAUCAGUCGAACACAGAAUAUCGACCUUAAGAGUUAGUAUAUUUUAUCCUUUUUAUUUAUUAAAUUUAUUAAAUAUGAAUUGUGCGUUCACGAUAUGCCGCGUGUUACAAUUUCAGUUACUUUUCAACACUUUGAAAUAAGAAUAUUAAUAAUUAUUAGUAUUAAUUGGUAAAUUAUGCAAACUCUUGUAUUACUGUCUUAAUGAGAUUCAAUCAAUAAUCCUUUACAAUGUGGCACUCAACGUGUUAAUCACUGUUUACGAUAGUUGUACUGAGCUAAUUUGUUUUCCCGGUGCAAUUCGCGUUUACAUUCUUUCGCUACAGCUUCGUAGCGUGGAGCCAUUCACGUGUCAUCGACUGAUCUCGUGAAAGAUUGCGCAAAGUCCGUUCGAAACCAUUCCUUGGGGUGGCAUACGAAUAAUAAUCGGGUUUGCCUCUUUUUCUUGUCUUUCCGCUCUCUGGGUUUUUUUACGACGGUUUUUCCCGCCGUUCACGUGACAUUAUUGAGAUACAAACGACGGUUUUAAGCUUAUAAUGCACGUGAAGCAAACGUGAAUCUCAGAAUUGAUGGUGAAUGAGAACGCAAUUGUCUGUAAUUUUUCCCAAAGGUUUUUUCGUUAAAAGAUGCGCAAAAUUCGAUUGGUGAUUUUGUCCCUUUCAAUUCGUGAGAAAUGAGUUCUUGAUUUACGGAUCCUCUGAGAAAAAAUUAUUAAUGCUCGUAAUUUUCUCUUUAACCACCCUAUUCGGGCAUCUAUUCAAAGGGAACUGGUUUUACGCUUUGAAUAGGCAUGCGUUUGUUUGUUAGGCAGGAUAUAUGGCAAACGAAAUUCAGAUUUUAAUAUAAACGUUUUCAAACAGGGCGCAGCGAUUAAUCGAUACAAAAAAGACAAAACAGACACGAGAUGAUAAAUUCCUCUACCUAGCAUUUAACGAUUGACGAAUCUUGGUUGUAUAAGACAGUACUUAGAUCAGAGAUGCCUCAUUUUUAGAUCAAAUUAAAAAAAUUAAAAUCAAAUUUUUAAUUUAUUCACCUUCAGUAAUGCAUUUAUGAUAAAAUGCUGCAUGAUAUUUACGAAGUGAUGGUCCGUAGCGUCGUUUAAAUUAUUAAUUUCGGAUAUAAAUUUUUAAUGAGACGUGUAUCAUACACGUGAAACGGCUGGUGUAAUAUUAGCGUGGAAUUUAAUAGCGCUUGGGAUUCUCGGCGAGGCUUAUCGCGACUCGCAAAAUCGUCGGCGAUCUCACCGAUCGAGCCUCGGCUCCGGGGAAACGGAUCGUCGCGGUAAAUUCCUGAAGCCACCACGGGCAUAAACAGCGCGUGAAAUGUGUUUGACGGGAAAAUCGGUACUCGUCGCGAGACAACACGAAGCGAGCGAGAAACGAGCGAGCGACUGCCACGCAUGAGAGAGUAAAGAAAAAUUCGACCUCGAAUUUUAUUUAAGAAAUUGACUCCGGCUGUCGGUUUAGGAAACCAAUAAUUAUCCUCGGCGAAAAAGUGUGUUGUAGGCGACGCAGAAGAAUCGGGGGAUAAUAAAUGAGAAAGGAAGGGAGAGAGAAAGUGCGACCGCGGGGCAAAACGACGAGAGACUGUGUCACGUUUCUAAACGUAACGAUGUACAUGUACUAUAUAAUUGCGUAAGCGUUUGUAUAUGAUAGUUAAGAAUUUUUCGUAAAAUUAUAAACCGUUAGGGACGCGCGUUUAGCAUAAAUCGUGUGCGUGCGCGUACGCACGGCCGUACACACAUACACACACGUGGCGAACAGGUGCCUCGGAGUUCGUUGGGCGCGUUAACCCUCUCGCUUCGUGAACCCUGUGCAUCUCCCGCCCUCCCCCUCUCUCCUCUAAUUCGCAUUAUUCGCGACGAAUCGCACCUUCACAUCGCGACCUGUCGCACCCCUGGAAGCGAGAGGAUCGAGUCGCGUGAAAAUCUGGCAUUCGCGAAACUCUCCCCCUCCCCCCCCCCCGUUUCGAUCCUACCGUAUCAGAUUCAAAGAAUCUGUUCGUUCUCAUUCCCUUUACGAACUUUCUCGUCGCUCGGUGAUGCGAAACCACUCUUAAAGUUGAAGAUGCGCAUCCUAGCGAUAAAAGCGUUAAAAGCAUCUAAGGAAUUGUCAGUGGCUUACCAGAGAAAGAGUUAAAGAGCUUAACUUGUAACUGAGAAAAAGAUUCCUAAAAAUUUUUUUGCAGGUCAUAAGUUUGUUUCGCCGAGCUAAAUCUUUAUUCAAAAAACACAGCGAAAUAAAAUUUUAUUCCUGGCAAGUAAACCAAUUGAUAGUAAAAACAUAUUUUACAAAUAUAUAUAUUUUGCAGAAAUAUAUAUUUCGCUAACACAAUAAAUUUUUUAAUAAAAUAAUAAGUAUACGAAUAUAAUGAUUAUUGAAGAAGACAUUACAAGUGACAUUUCUUCAUGUUUUAACUCUUUUCUCAGUCUACAAGAGAAAAUUUAAUUUUUAUCUUAUAGAAUUUAAUUUAUUUGAAGAAUGAAGAAUUCUCUUUUUUAUACAUAUACGUUUAUACAUGACUGAGAAUCUUCAUUCUUGAUAUUCUAUAAUUCUUUUUAUAUUUUUAACGAUUAAUGUUUUAAUUUUUUUUUCUUUUGUAUGAUUUCUCGCUCAAUAUUAAAGGUGAUUUAUAAUAACGAAGAGCAAGUGUGCAUGUACGUACAUUAGAUGUAAUGUACAUAUAAUUUACAAUCACUUACGUCAAAUUGCUGAGUUCAGCGUUGCGUUUAGUGUCUCGCCUAAUGGGCUCGCUCACGACUUCUAAGAACCGCCGGAUUAUUCCAUGAUGCGACCAGUUAUUCUGUAAUAACCUAUCACUAUCCGAUGGAUGCCAUCUGCAGUCUCGAGGGAUUAUCCCGGGGAAAUUGCGUGGAAAAUUACUUUCGCGAAGUGGACGAUCGGCGCGCGAGUCGAUCAGCGAUUAGGGACGAUUGAAGGUUGUCAACCGGUCGGCCGCGCAGAAUUUUCGGCUUGAGAUCGACGGACGCGGGAUUUUUUCUUUUUUUUUUUUCUCACGCGUGCGAUAGCGACUCGCGGAGCGGAGACUAGUCGUCGAAAAAAAAAAAAAAUAACGGAGCGAACAUUCGUCAAACGAAUGUUCGCCAAGUUGCGGUCCACGAUUAUUCGCGUACACCCGCGACACGGGCGCAGCGUGCAAUGUACAACGAACGAGGUAGAGGUACUUGUUCGAGCGAUUAGAACAAGCUACUGUUUUAAGUCACGUAGACAAGCGGGAAUUUAGGAUCGGUUUCUCUCACACAACGUGUGUGUCGGUUGGCCCCCAGCCUCGAUUCGCCCGAUUCUUUGUUUUUCCUGAAUCGUAACACCAGUAGUGGUCAGUCACGAAAAGACUUCCUUAGAAGUUUCAAAGAUAUAUUACAUACAUAUCUGAGUAACUAGUAUAAUUUAGUUUAAUUCAGUUUCUGUUAAGGUUAAACUGCGGGAUAAGGCCUUUUUUAAUUAAACAGAAAGAAUGAUUCGCAGAACAGAUAGGACAGAUAAGAAAUACGAUAACGAUAACAAACGCACUCUGUAUAUGGAGGAAGAGAAUCGGAUCGAUCGCGGGGCCAGGCGCCAAGCGAUGAGACCGGCUCUUAGACAAUGUAAUGAUCAUAUUACUGAUAAGGAAGAAUAAGUGCGAAGAACAAAGUCGGUUAGCUAGUAGAUUAACGAUGUUUUUUAGCGACCAGGACAACGUAUUUCUCGCUGUAUAAUUUAUUUCCUCAUCGCGACCCUCCUCGCCGAAGGGAACGACCAAUCGAUCGCGUAUCGCCUACCCUCGUUUACGCAAUCGAUUUUUAUCUCUAUCACAACACGAUAAUUGUAACGUGUGUUUUGUAGUAAAAAAAAAAAUCGAAUUCCACGACCUUUUAAAUCUAUGAUUAACCCUGGUAGAAAUUUAUGCAGUUUUUCUAACAUCCAUCAAGUUAUACUGUCUAUUUAAUAUUAUGAUAGCCUCAUUAGUUGCAGCAAUAUUGCAUUGGAAAUGGACAAGAACUUGAUGGAAUUUUAAUCAAUGACUGAUGCGCUUUUUGGUAAAAAUAAACAUAAACAUCUGUCUAGUAUUAAUAAACAGGCUUUCAGGCUUGCUUGUUGAUUAAUUGACUAGUCCAAUGUUUUCGUUUAGUAAAUAAAUUUAAAUUUUGCGCAUUGUUUGUGCACAGUAACUGCGGGCAAAGGCGUUACAUUUUAAUUUCAAGUAGUUUUACGUCUCAAUUAUCAGACAGAAAUGAUAUAAUUAUCCAGAGACUGCACAAAAAGUGCAUGAAAUUUCUGCCAGGGUAACUUUCUGUAUUCGAACUUUGUGUAUUCGAAGUUUGUAUCUGUAUUCGAACUUGAACACCUGUUAGAAAUUGGUGGAAUCAAGCGUACUGUAAAUAAUAAAGUAGCUGACAAUCAUCACGUUAUUACCGAUCAAUUAAAUCGUUAAAUGUCGGUUCCACUCUUGGAAUGUAAAAUCGUAUUCGGAGCGAGCUCUAGAAAAUAAUUAUUUGUGUUUUUGAACCUGUGCCUGAAACCUGUCAAUCAUCGUGUUGUGACGCAACAAAAAUCGCACGUGUAAAGGAAGCCUAAGGUUGUGCUGACGACCUGGUUGAUUUAGACUUAUCUGGACGCUUGAAAAUUUUUCUAGCAAAAACUCUCGAAAGUCGGAUUUAGAGAAAUUAGAUCUCAAUUGAAAAAAAAAAAAAAAGUUUUCUCUAUCCAAAAGAGAGAUUUUUGUUGUCGCAUACUGGCUCUCCCGGUACUAAAGUUUUGAGCGUUCAGUCUGGCUCUGGUUGGCAAUUUGUCCUUUUGUAGAUCGUAGCUGUAGAGAGCAACAAUAGAGGAAGAGAAAACCCAAAAUUGAGUUAACCAGAAUGGAAAUCAACCGGCGUCGGUGCGCCCGCAGUGUCCUUUAUUUCGUAACCCAACGAAACAUUCUAGAUCGUUGUUCCUCGGUCACUGUGUAUGUUAUUGGUGACUGGCAAAGCCUCAAGUUUUUACCUUAACCAAAAUGGAUCUUGCGUUGGACACUGUUUCCUAGUUCGCGGAGUGUAUUAUAGAUUACGUAUGUACGUGCCUGCGAGAAAUAAAACUUGGCGACACACAGACACAACACAACACACACACACACACAUACACACGUGUGCAAUCCCACGUUCGUUUACAAUCCGUAGCCUUUAAACGCUCGCAUCGUACCUUUUUACCGCUAAAGCGUAUACGCGGAACAAGUUCAUGGCAUAAUUACUGUGUAAUGUCACUGUCGCUUUGUUCCUAGCAUAAUCGAAGCGCAUAAUCCAGGCAACGCGCAGCUUUAAUAUUCUGGAAAGCUGAGCGGUGUGCGUAUUUAAUUAAUUACUGCGGUCGCGCGGCGAACAUUGUGAUAGCUACGUAGUUGCGAAUUGUCGUCCCGCAGCGAUAACAAAUUGUGAUCCGAGAUUUAUACUCUUAAUCCGUAAGUCGUAGCAUGUGAGAGAAUUACAGAUCAAUAUCAUUUUAAUACGUCCUGCAUUGUAUCCCUUGGUGUAUCAAUUACUGUACUUGUUAAACGCGGUUUAGAAACGCAAACCGCGUCUACAGAUCAUUUUUCACAUAUCAUAUACAACGCUAGAUUAUUAAAUUUUUAAUUGUCUAAUUUUACACGAGAUCGGAGGCGAUUAUUUUUAAAAAGCGGCUUUUCGCUUUUAGGUAUAGUCGAAAGCUAAGAUUCUUGUAUUUCGUAACUUUCAAAUCGUUCGCGAAAAAAAAUAUGUGCUUAUAUAAGUUUGCGAUUAAUUUGUUUUUAAUUGACUCUGUUGCGAAAAUUGAGCAUCUAUCGUCUGUAUUGAGAUAUUAUGCGCUUAUUUCCCGCGUUAUUUUAUUUUCGGAAAUUCGCGCUUAUGUUCGCGCCUUCUCAUCCCGAUGUAUCCCGACUGAAUGGUAUUGUUACCUAUAUGCUCUCGUCGUAAAAAUUGCGAGAUAGAUCUCCGAUGAAAUGUACAGGGCGCGCGAAAGAGUUAAUACCCGUCGAGGACGAUAGUCCCAGUUAAUUCUAGUACGAUCUUAAUUGCGCCUGCCUAUGUUUGUUCCUAGCCAAAUAUUUUUCCACUUUGAUCGCCAAUGAGAGGGUGAGUUUUUGAGAUAAUUUUGCAGCUCUUUUUUUUAAUAUCACAAAGAUGAUCUAUUUACCGACUAAUAUCGUCACAACGUGCGAUGAUAAUUUCUGUAAAUGUACAUAAGCUCUCUCGCGCGAGAAAAGUGAAAUUUGAACGGAACGAAGAAUGCUGCCACAAUUACCUGCGUGAUUUCGAAGGUACAGGCGUACAACAAAAUACACACACACAUACACACACAUCAAAACACAAAUGCGUACACGCUCUCUGUCUCUCAGGUACGCGCGUCGCAUACGUACUGGUCAUUAUUCGUUUGCACGCAUGUCUUUUCCACGCACCUCUCGUGCCCCUGAUGCCUACCUGGAGCAGAGCGUUUUAAUUUACGAUAAUACGUUUUCGUUUAUCGUUUUAUUUAGUCGGCAAUAAGACUUUUCCUAUAUUUUAAGUUGUUAACGUUGCACACGAAGAUAUGUUUAUUUGCGCCGCUGCGACGCGUCCGGCAGUUUCGAACACGCAAAUUAAUUAAUCCUAGCAUUAUUCGAAGGGUAAAGCUUCGCCUUUGUACACCAAAGUAGCCUUUGAUUGUGAAUGUCAAAAUUUUCAUUAGUUUAUUGUAAAAUUGCGAAACAAAAUGAAUUUGGUUUAACAGACAAUUAAUUUAAAGAUCUUUUUUAAAUAAUUGGUGACUUGAUACUAGAGAGAAAAUGUAUUGGUUUUUAAAUAUUUUUGCAACUGUAAAUUGAGUACCUUGAAUUUGCUAGGAUAAAUUAAUCAUUCGACUCCCUCCGCGAAUUUUUGUGGCAUUUAAUUUCGCAGAAAUCCGCGUUUGACGAUUUUUCUUAUCACGUUUGAUUUUAUCAUGUUAUACUGCCGCUCGCAUUUAUGCAUUUCGCAUUUCUUUCUUAUUUCGUACCUUGCCGUAUACGAAUUUUACAUUUUUGUCAAUGAUAUUAUUCCGCAUUAUGCAUGUACGACGACGACGACGACCGACGUUUCGUGUCGGUGAACACUUUUGCCCUUUUUUAUUACAGUAUAUUUCACCGCAGGUUUUCGGUGCAAGAACGAGAAGAAAAGACCACGAUAUACGUAAAGCUCAUUUUUAGAUACGGCUUCAUCUUUAAAGUAAACUUCGGUCAAGUAUGAACCCGCCGCGUUUCCGCACACGAACUCUUUAAUUUACUCCUCACGCGAACUCGCGCUUAUGACUUUCUCAAGUUUUUCGCGGAUGCUCGCAGCGGCUAAUCGCGUCUCAGCUUUUAUACCGCCGUAACAUGUGUAUUGUCACAAACCUAAAAAAUACAUACACACACACAAAACAAGCACGAACGCACACACACACACGCAUACACACGCAAUGAACACAAAUACGUACACACGCGUCCGUCUACUCCGGUUUUACGUAAGUUUAUGCUAAGUUUUUAGGAUAUUAACAUGGCUUCUCAUUUUAUUUAAGCGACAAUGCAAAGUUUGAUCUCUUACUCGUACAUACAUCAUUAUGAAUAUAAAUAUUAUAAAUAAAUACACAUACAUGGAUAAUCCGCAUAAUUAUGAUUACGCGAGGAAUCAUGCUCGUUGCGUUCCUUCCCUCCCGUGUUCCUUCCCUCUUCGCGGCUAGCGAAUUCUUUCGACGGACGACGAGGGGACGAGGCACGCCGUCGCGCGUUCCUCUUCUCCACGUGGGGAACACCGCAUGUUAUACAUAUAUAAAUAUAUAUAAGGAAAGGAAAAAAUAUAUAUACGAGUAUAGGACGCGAUUCGAGCGUUCGUCCCACGUGUAAAGAUGCAACUUUCAAUCCCACCAUUUAUCCUUCCUCAUCCCUUUUCCCCUCCCUCCCUCCCUCCCUCUCUCUAUACCCGCAAACAAUUGUAAACGCGUUCUCGCCGUGAGUCACGAAAGCGCGAAUAUGAUUUUUUAAAGAACUGCUCCGACUUGAUUAAGAAACGAAAUAAACGCUGCUUAUGACAGUUAAAACAGCAUUCUUUUUUAAAUAUCAAUAUCCCUUAAUGCCCCAUCCGACAUCUUGAUUUCAGAAUCAAGAACGGAGUCAAGAACGGUUUGGCCUCAAAAGUUAAGUGGCUUCUGCCCAGAUUUCUACUGAAAUUAGAGGAGAUUAUUCUCCGAAAGGGCCGGCGAAGCACCAACCUGGAGAAUUGACCUAGAUUCAUUUGCAUAACAAAAAAGUACCCGGCAAGAAUGAGGUAAGUGCAUAAUUUGUUAGAUCCACUCUGAUACAGUCGUAUCUGAGAUAGAUCUUGCAAAUUGUGAGCUUGACUCACUCUUGUACUGAAAGUCGAAUCGAUAUAUAUUUCAUUCGUAUGAGAGAUAUAUUCUUCCCCCGCAUUUUAUCUCGUCGAGCAUAGAAUUGUUAAUAGCAUUGCAAUAUAUAUCGCGAUUUUGUACGAUGUAGAUGGUUGAAAAUAACGUCGGCGGAAUAUUCUGAUUGAACGCGGACAAUAUUAAUCGCGCUAAAACGCAUUCGGCGUUCUCUCGCCAGGUAGAUACGCUUGACGUCGCGGCACUAAAUAAUUAAACGAACGAGCGUAAAAGUUUAUCACAUCGAUGACAUUUUGAGAUACGAGGGCCAUCGACGGACCCGACGCUAGAACAUUAAAUCCGAAACUAUCGUCAUUGGCGGAAAUUCCCAUCGAACGCUUUUCGGACACGCGCGCGCGGGCAGAUUUAUUUCUCUCUCUUGACGGGGGAAGAAGAACGGGAUCGUAUAUCGAGUGUGAAGAAUGGACGCCGAGAAAUAUUCCCUUCUUUCUUUUUUCUUGGACGUUAUUGUGCGCUGGAGUGUUCCCCGUGCCCGAUAGAACGAAACUGCAAAGCAACGAAGGAGAGAGAGAGAGAGACAUCGACGGCACCGUGGUUCCAAUCCUUGACAUUCGCACUUAGAUUCUAUCUGGUGCCUCGCCGUCUAAAAUCCCGAGGACCCUAAAUCGAAACGCUCUCCCCUUCGUGCCACCCAUUCGAGUGCACACAACCGAAUAAUAAUUAUGGACACGACGUCACGCGUGGGUGAUCCUCCUGAGACGAGUACUAAAUUAUAUCUGGGCCGACGUCAUUCUCGGCGGAGGAGAGACAUUGUAUUUUGGGACGAUGUCAUUAAUCGACGCCGGAAUGUUGUCCUCGUCGCGCAAUGAAUAUUCGAUGCGUCCAAUUAUUUUCCACAGUUUUAACGUGGAAACGGAAUGACCACGCAAAUAUUGACGUUUUUUUUUUUUUGCACUUAUAUGCAUGUUUUUACGCAUCUAAGUUCUGAUUAUCUGAUCUAUUAUAGAUGAAGAAAUGGGAAUUACGAGCGGAUUGACGCUAGUGAGCAAAAGCCUCAAUGUAAGUAUGAAUUUAGGGCAAUUCAAUUAAGCCACGUCCGGUAAAUGAGAGUACCAUCAUUAAAUAUACUUGACUGAUACGUAUCGGACGGGUGGACGGACGAACGGACGCUCAGACGGAUAUGUAUCAUCCAUGUCUAUUUAUUGAUUACACCUUCCGGUGAAAACGGGACAUUGCGCAAAGUCGUCGAUGUUUGACCGCGUCAUAUAACCGAUGUGCUCCCGAUAAUACGCGGUUAUCGUUUGAUAUAGCGCUUAUCUGCUGCGCUGUAAUUAUUAGCAAUACUACAAGUUAGUUUUUAUAUCGCAAUUUUAUUGCAACACGUGUUCAUUUCUCUGAUUUACUUGAGCGCAUAUGCUUAUAGAAAUUUAUCAAUUUGGUGCUAUAUUAAUCUUCUGUAUACACGAAAGAGUGAGUUUAUAUUCUGCGUAUUUUUUUUUCCAACUAAGAGCAUUAUAUACAGUCGUAAUAUUUAUGUACUAUUUUUUCAAUAAAAAACCUAUACAAAUACUUUCUACAGAUGUUAAAGGAUGUAUAAGAGUCAUCAAAUAAUUUUUUUACACUUGUAAAAGAUACGAAAAUUAACUCAAAAGUUAGUUACAGACAAAAAAUUCGAACAUAUUGUAUGUUUGACCUGUUCAAAUAAUUCGAAGUAAAAAAAUAUCCAGUUCGCAUUUUAGAUCGUUCGGACAGUUUUAAAAAUUAAAGCUAUGUUUGUCACAUUUCAAAGUAUUAUCUAAAACUUAAAAUUUUUAUUAUUUUGUUAUUGCGUUAAAAUAUCUGAGCAUAAUUCUCUUAUUGGUUUGAAGAAGUUAUUUAAUUCUUUAUUUGCUAUUUAUUUUUAUGUAUAAUUGCAUUUUCUAUUAUUUAUCGGCAAAUAGGAAAUAGUAUUACAAAUUAAAUCUUUUACAUAUAUAUUAACGAAAUUAAUUAAUUCUUGUCGUAUAAUAGUUUAUUUGGAUCCAUUAAUUCGUUUAUAAUUUAUUCACUUAAAACUAUAGCAAAAUGCAGCAACAGUUAUUUUUCAGGGCCAAAAUUUAGGUAUUCAGUCAAAACUUUUUGUCAUCGAUUACGGAAAAAAAAGAAUAAACCUUAAAGCAGUUUUAACUUUCACACUAACUUUUAGCUCGUAUGUUAAAGCUAAAACACUUUUAAGCAGUAUUGAUCUGUAAUGUCAAUUCGUUAUGCCUGAAGUUCGGACAGUUCGAAUAAUAUAAUAAAGAAGUUUAAAACACAUUAAAAAGAGUAAUUUUUUCACGGGUAUUUUCUUUUUUACAUUAAUGUGUCAAAGAAUUUUGAUUCAAACUUUAUUUUAGACUUUCGGAUCUGACGUAUAUUCAAACAGUUUGAACAUAUCUUUAGUUUAAAAAAGUUUGAAUGGUUCAAAUUAUUUAAUCACUUGAUGUUUUUAAACACUAUUCAAAAGUGUCGUGAAUUAAUCGUGUGCAAAGAAGCUGCCAAAAACAACGUGUGUACAGAGGUUUAAUUACUAUUUUCCAAAUUAAAAACAUUAUUUGUUAUUGUUUUUAAUCUUAAAAUAAGUAAUUAAAUAUUAAAUUAUAUGAGUGCUAAAUUGACAAAUUUUUGUAAAGGUAUAAUAAUAAUUUGAUAACUGUAUAAUAAAUGAAAUAAAAAAUGAAAAAAAAAAGGUAAAAGCUCUAAAAAAUAUAUGAAAAACAAGGUAAGAAUAUUCACGUCACAUUUCUAUAUAAAUGUAAAGAUACAUCAAAUAGAAGGAUCUCCACAAAUGUGCGUUCUGUUUUCGUUAAUACUAAAUAUAGAGAGAAAUUAAAAAGUGGGGAAUGUAGGACGUAUAUCGCGGUCAUAGUUCUUUACAGGAAUAGAUAUCCGUCGGGCAAAUGGUUGAUUACUUUCGAAUAAAAUAACAGCUGAAUAGCGACCCUCGAAAGGAUGAUUCAGAAUGAUAAGACUGCCACUCGUACUAAUAAUAAAUAUGUUUAUCCUCACGAUCGAGAACCGCGAAGCCAUCCCACAUUACAGAUAAUUAUAAUCCCAGCGUUGGUUUUCAACGUGACACGAUCGAUACCCCCCCAAGCGUGUGUUACGACAUUCCAGUUAAUUCUGCCUAUCAUUAUUGUCUAUUAAUAUAAUGCUCGGCUCGUAUAACUCGAUAUAGCACUUGAUUUGCGUCAAUAUAGCAUUAUUUUCAGAGAGACGCGAUGUACUCCCUAAAUGUACCUCUUCCUGCAACCGGCCGUACAAUGUCGUUCAAUUAACCUCCACCUUGUUAAUUAACCCUUGCACGUUAUUACCCCUUGAUUUGUCACCAAGUGUUCAUCACGAACCCUUAAGUCAUUCAUGGGCAUUAUUAGUUCUCAUUACCUACAUUAUAACGUGCAAACUUUAUCUGAACGUUAGAACUUUUGGAAAAAAAAAUGUAUUUUGUUGAAAGUCCGCAAACGUGAUAAUUAAUGCGUACAAGUGCUCUUAUCUCGAGAGACUUCAUUAUCCAGUGCUAUUCUCGAUUACAAUCGAAAACGUUAGAAAGCAAUGGAAAUCAAUCCUAUUCAAAUUCUAUACAGCCGAAGCUCUGUUACGCUCUCCCAAAAUCGUGUCCGGGGGAUUAAUGUCGAGCCUAGUGCGUCGAUAUAUCGGUUUCCUGCAAAUGACCUGGUUCGCAAAAGGUUGCAAGGGUCAAUUAAUCACAAUAUCACUAUCAUCCGCUUCGCGUUACCCUCCGCGGCACGUACUGGCAGCUUCGCUUCUAAACGCACUCAUUCAUCACCGGCACCUGAUAUCGGCUAUUUUCGCACACGCAAGCCCGACACACAUUUUAUUUAACUUGCAUUAUUUAACUUCGAUUAAACGAAACGCGGCACGCGUUUAUCCGGCAUUCGAUUCGCUUUUUUGCUCGUAUGAUGAAAGAUGCAUCCGCGAUAUCGAGACGGUGAAGAAGAUAAAUUCGCCAUCUCAGACUUCGAUCGAAGACGACAUGCAACAUCUUAAUCGAAUUCAAAGCUCUUCUUACUGCUGUAAGUAAGCUGACAACAUGACGCGACGGGGAUGCAAAUGUGGGGCAGAUCGAAACUACAAUCAUCCGACAUUGACUGCCUCCUCGUCGGGAGUCGGGGGUAUUUUUAAUCCCUUCCCCCUCCCCCUCUUCCGCGGCCGGGAAGCGGUGGUGACGAGCUUGACGUCAAGCAGGCUAGAGACACGGAUGAUUUGCUCCAGCGUGGCGGUAUAUGUACAACAUACGAUAUACUUUGUCAAUAGAAUGGGAUGCGCCGCCGCUCAGGUGAUCGAUCGGUCACCGCCUUCCUCUCGCGAUCGUCUCCUCUCCCUCCGCGACAUUUUCCCCCUGUCGUGUCUUGGAGGCCGUGCGUUGAUCGAUCGCCGUCUGGCCUUGAGAUCACUCGUCCGCCACGCGGAAUAUCGAUAAUUUUAGUUGCACAUAUAUAAUAAUGCUCCAUUAAAUUAUCGCCAUGGGCACGAGAGAGAGAGCGAGAGAGAGAGAGAGAGAGAAAAGAUUGUCUUAACUCGAGAAGGAAUCGAAGGAGUUAUGCAAUAAAUCAGAGACUGUACACGUGAAAAGGACAUGUAAACGUAUGCGAACGUUAAAUAUAUGCGGUAGAUACGUAUUCCGUUAUUUAAA
Molecule: long non-coding RNA, 14037 nt
Organism: Monomorium pharaonis (pharaoh ant)
Lineage: Eukaryota; Metazoa; Arthropoda; Insecta; Hymenoptera; Formicidae
Exons: 2
Source: RefSeq, a predicted model, not a curated record